CACAACUCUUUACAGUGUAGAUUAAUUGUAACUUAAGUAUGCACCCUUGGAGAAGCUUCUCAGACAUUGCGACUUUGUAAAAUCAGUUCAUAUACAUCUUUAAUCUAAGCGCUGCAUCAAUUAUUUCUCUUUGUCAUCAACCGCAAAUACUCUUCAUCAUCUUAAUAUUUAUUUGUACUGAUCAUCAUAGCCACUAAUCUUAUUAAAAAUUCCGCUUGCAAGGAAUAAUUUGGUGUUUCCUAAGUCCGACCAACACACCAACAUUUACCAACCUUUCUUUGCACAGCACAAUACAAGAUGCAAAAAAACAAAACCAAAAAAUGUGAUAAUUAGGUGUCCCUUAAGCGCUUCAGGUCUUUUGAAACAUAGAUCAACCCUUUCUUCCCUUUUAUGUGUUUUUCAUGUAUGCAUUUCCUAAGUCCGACCAACACACCAACAUUUACCAACCUUUCUUUGCACAGCACAACACGAGAUGCAAAAAAACAAAACCGAGAAAAUGUGAUAAUUAGGUGUCCCUUAAGUGCUUCAGGUCUUUUGAAACAUGGAUCAACCAUUUCUUUUCUUUUAUGUGUUUUUCAUGUAUGCAUUUCCAAAGCGCACAGAUCUCUUUCUCUAAGAAUUGACUGUCAUGUUGCCACUCUUUCGUUUGUGAUCUGAUUGUCCCUCUAUCAAAUAUCCUAUGAAUAAAUCAUGACAUAACCUAUCACAGUAACACAUAUAAUACAUAG
Molecule: long non-coding RNA, 728 nt
Filed under: Brassica napus (rape)
Lineage: Eukaryota; Viridiplantae; Streptophyta; Magnoliopsida; Brassicales; Brassicaceae
Description: long non-coding RNA (BNAP_LNC021516)
Source: RNAcentral